Ziziphus jujuba (common jujube) is the source of this 4519-nucleotide long non-coding RNA. RefSeq lists it as uncharacterized. The record is from RefSeq and is a predicted model, not a curated record. NCBI's taxonomy places the organism in Eukaryota, Viridiplantae, Streptophyta, Magnoliopsida, Rosales, Rhamnaceae. The transcript is spliced from 2 exons.
CUUAUAAAAACUCCUCUUUUCUAACAGUCGUCCAAAUUCAUAGUUCAACUGGCGAAGCAAAGCCGUCAAUUACGGUAGGGUAUCUUAGUAUGAUCCAUUGUGUAUCUCUUACAUUUUCUUGUUCAAUUUAAAUUCAUUGUUUUGGUACAAUCAAAUCGAUUUAUCUUUUUAUUCCUUAAAUUUUUUAAAUUUUAAUUUUAUUAGUUUAAAUUUUUUUCUGGGUCUGUGAUGCACCGGCAAGCCCCUUGCUGCGUAUAGUUUUUUCGUCGCAAGGAAAAUUCGAGAAAAUGGGUAUUAAAGAGGUGCUAAAUUUAAACUAUUGGCAUGAGUUUGUGCGAUGGAUUUGAUGUCUUCUUUCGCGCAAUUCUCUUUACGCCCGAAUAAAGAAAUUAACCCUGAUGUUGAACCUUGGAAAUGGCAAAGCAAAAUGAUGAGUUUGUUUUUUUUCCUUAAUCUGAAUUCUGAUGUGAAAUGCGUUAUCGUGGUCUUCAAAGUUCUCUGAUUGCUUUGCUGGCUCUUACCAUUAUUAUGUUUAAGAAAUUAUUUGGAUGCUUCUCAAUUUUUUUUCUUACUAAUGCUCAAAUGAUUAGCACUUUUUCGUUUUGUUUUGUUGUGAGCAACAGUGCGCUUUUAGAUUAAUUGGUUGAUGUUACUCCGUUUGAUUUUCUUUUGUGUUGUAUUUUCAUUUUUUCUAUUUGGGGUAUUCUCUUACAUCUACUCUGCUAGUUAGUGUAAUGAAGGUAUCUUUAAGACAAAGCCAGAUCGAUAAGAUUCGCUGACCAAAACAUUUGGAGGUUGAGUCCCCAAUAUCUUCGCAGAUUAGUAAAUGAGACCCAUCAAAAGCCUGAGAGCAGUAUUUUUUUUUAAAAUUUUUUUUUCCCCAUCGAAGCUGAUAUAGAAUGUUAGCAGGAUUAUAAUUUUAUUCUUGUUGGGGGCUGUUAUUCGGACCAGUAGUAGAUCAAUUUUGAAAUUGAUGACUUAUGCAUUAGGUAGUCAAAUGUUAAUGCUAGUUUGAGUUGCAUAUAAAUGUUUGAUUUGGUAUUUGUGAUGUUAUUUCACAAAUUUGGCUCUCUGUCUAUGAGCAGAAUAUAUAUAUAUAUAUAUAUGUGUGUGUGUGUGUGUGUGUGUGUGUAUAAUAUUUUAUGAUUAUUAAUAUUAUUUUUUUUUGCCUUGGAAUUUUUCUACAUACAUUAGUCUUGAGUGUAUAGAACAAUACAUAUUUCUUUGAAAUUUGUAGUUAGUGUCUUUUUGUGGACCUUUUCUGGCUACCUGAAGCCACUGGUUGCAGUGUCAGCAAAAUGAUGAGAUUCUUUAGUCUGAAUUAACAUGUGGAAUCCCAUAUCGUAUUGGUCUUCAAAGUUCUCUGAUUGCUUUUGCUGGUAUUGGCUUGUAAAAUGAAAAAUUAAAAAAAAAAAAAAAAAAAAACCAAAACAUUCCAGGUUAUAUUUUAUAACUUUUGUGGUGUGAAGUGUUCUUAUGCAAUGAUAAAAAACCUAAGUGUUAUUCAAUUAUCUGUUUGACUAAAUGCCUCGCUGAAUUGGUUGGAUGUUGCAUUUCUAAUGUUCUAGAGCAAUCCUAGAGUCUGUCAACCCUUAAUUUGUGUGUAUUUGACAUGAUUACUUUUUUCUUUGAAACUUGUAGUUAUUGUCUGUUUGUGGACCUUUUCUUGGCUACCUGAAGCUAAUGGUUGCAGUACCAGCAAAAUGAUGAGGUUUUUUAGACUGAAUUAACAUGUGGAAUCGCAUAUCAUAUUGGUCUUCAAAGUUCUCUGAUUGCUUUUGCUGAUAUUGGCUUGUAAAAUGAAAAUAAAUAAAUAAAUGAAUGAAUCAUUCCAAGUUAUAUACGUGUGGUGUAAAGUAUUCGUAUGUAUUGAUAAAACCUAUUAAGUGAUUUUCAAUUAUUCAACUAUCUGUUUGAUUAAAUGCCUCUCUAAAUUGGCUGGAUGUUGCAUUUCCAGUGCUCUAGAGCUAUCCUAAAGUCUGUCAGCCCUUAAUUUAUGUGUACUUGACAUGAUUACUGGUGCUGCAAGGAUUGACCAAUGUGGCCUUUUUAUUUUUAUAUGGAAUUUUGAUAUUUUGAUUAUAUGCUGUAUGUCAACCAAGUAAUGAACGCUUGAAAGGAUUUUUUCCCUGCUAGAUAUGGAUUUAAUUAGAAAUACUUCCAAUGGUUUCUGCUUUGAUGUUGAAUUCCUUAUGAAAUCAACAAAAUGAAUGAAUGCACCAAAAUUCAUAGUCUGUCAUGUACAUGUAUUUCAGGCUGUACGAGCAUGGUGCGAUAAUAUAAUAUUUUUUAGCUUGUUCAUAGCUGCUUUAUGUCUUUGUUCAAUGACAAUCAAAGCAAAAGCUAGGGAAGAAGACAUGUUAUUGUAUCGUAACUUUUCUUUGAUCUCAUAAUACUUAAUUGUCUUCUUAUUCUUGUCCCAUAUUGCAGACUUUGAGGGGGGCUAGAUAAAAAACAUUACUUAAUCUAUGUUCUUUUAUGGUAUUUGCUCCGUUAUCUAUUUAUUUAUUUUUUCAUGUUGGCCAAAAAAAAAAAAAAAAAAAAUUGGAGACAAUAACAUGAAGAAUAAUAUCAACUUUUAUUUUUUUUAAUAUUAUUUUUAAUUAUGUGUGAUUAGUUUCUUGAUCAUGAAUCUAUUGUGUUUCCUCCUUGGUGGUGAAAUCUCCUGUACUUAUAUCAGUUAAAAUAAGUAGAAUAGUUGGCGAAAAUCAACGAAAUAUCGUCGAUAUUUUUACCGAUAUUUACGAAAAGAUUCAAAAAAAUCAUAAGAAGAUGUCGGUUUGUUAGUACAACCGAAGAUGAUUUUUACUGUUAUGUUUUAACCUAAUGAAAAUGGGCUGGACUUCUAGAAAUGUGUAGGGCUGCUGGGUUGAGUAUUUCACAAACUUGAGGUAAUAAACUGGGCUCACCGCUCAUGGCUGAAACAAACAUGAGGCUUUCUCAAAACAAAAUAAAUAUAAAUUUCUAAAAUAUGUUUAAAUAGUAAUUAGUUUCUACCAUAAAAAUUACUUUACACUUUCAAGUAAAAAAUGGAAGGGUAAUAACAAUGAUAAAUAAAAUAAAAUACAAUAAUUAUGAUGCAAAUAAAUUAGCAGAGGGCUUACGUAUUGAUCAAUCUCAUUGAAUAGAUUCUUAAGAUUUUAAAAAUCACAUAAUUAUAUUAAUAUUUAAAACUUUUAAGCGUGUUAAUUAAUAUAGAAUUUUAAUGUUUUAUAUAUAUAUAUAUAUAUAUUGUCUCAAAAAAUAUUGCUAUAUAUGAUAAAAAAAAGUAAAUACUUAUUACUAUAUAAAUUAUAACUUGGUAAUUUAUGUUAUAUUUAACCAACAUUAUUAUUUCAUUUUUUUUUUUGGGUGAAUAAAAAAAGAUGCCUCAUGUAGUAUCAUAAAGCAUUAGGUGACCGCAUGGCAUUGCAGCAUGGAAUCAUUUGAGGCAAUAACGAAAUUAGUCAAGAUUCGAAUUUAAAUUUCCAAAUCUACAAAUGUGAAGGUUAAAUGGUUUUUUUCCGCUAAGCUAUUAACAUUAUUAUUUUAGUUAAUGUAUUAUUUUGUUCUUAUACAAUUUAAAAUUUUUUUACAUGCAAAAUUGUAUGCUUUUAAUAUAAAAUAUGUAAAUUUUAUAAUUUUAUCUAAAUUUUUGUUGAUAUCGAUAUUUUCAUCGAAAUUUUCAUAAAAUUAUAUCAUCAAUAUUUUCAUCGACAUCAAUUUUAUCAUUGUUGGGAGUACUUAACCUUUUUUUAUUAAUCAAGAUUUAAAAAAAAAAAAACUAUUUAUCAUUAUUGUAGAUUAAAACUGGACCGUUUUCAAAGAGUGAACAUUAAUUAAUUGCGCACUCUUUUAUGUCUUAUUCAUAAAAUUAAUACCAAGUGUGGGAAGUUUAGGUAGCUAUUAAUUACUUGAUAAUUAAGUCUAAGGUAACUAAGAAUAUUUGUAGGAGGUAUAGUGCAAAAAUUUCCGAAAGCCCAUUAAUUAUACACUCUAAUUAUGAGCAUCCUUCUUAAAUGCAAUUACCAAUUUAUUUGGAAAAAUAAUUAUGGUCCACAAGUUUGUGCUAUUAAAAAAGGUCGGAGGAGCACAAAGAAAUAGUAUCAUCCAAUUCCUAUCUGCCUUUCCAUUGUGAAAAUGGAAAAGUGUUCCUCCAAGUUAGCUUUCUUGAUUGCUCUGAUGUUGGUUUUAGCUUUGGGCUGUGACGCAAGAGGUGCAGAAAGAAAUCAUGUAGAGUGUAAAUCAUGCAACACUCCAGCAGAAUGUUCUGAUGAUCCAGCCAAGUGCAUUUGCGUUUUAAGCUGUUGCGUGUGUAGAUCUGAGGAAGCUCACCCUUUUAGAUUUAAAGGAAACUAAUUGAAUCACUAAACUCAAUAUAUGACAAUGCCUUGGCUUAAUUAAUGUUGUUGAACCACCAUAUGGGAAAUUGAUAUUAAUUGUUGCGUUCAAUUAGUAUAUGUGGUACUCCUUGGAAAUUAAAUGGCCUAUAUGGUUAUUAUUAUUUUCUAAUAAAAUAAUUAAGUUUUAUGUUGCUCUC